RNAcentral lists this ribosomal RNA (440 nucleotides) under uncultured bacterium. RNAcentral describes it as "partial 16S ribosomal RNA". It matches the Rfam family "Bacterial small subunit ribosomal RNA", at positions 338 to 795 of the family's 1533-position model. The record is from RNAcentral.
CCUACGGGAGGCAGCAGUGGGGAAUAUUGCACAAUGGGGGAAACCCUGAUGCAGCGACGCCGCGUGAGUGAAGAAGUAAUUCGUUAUGUAAAGCUCUAUCAGCAGGGAAGAAAAUGACGGUACCUGAGUAAGAAGCCCCGGCUAACUACGUGCCAGCAGCCGCGGUAAUACGUAGGGGGCAAGCGUUAUCCGGAUUUACUGGGUGGAAAGGGAGCGUAGACGGCAGUGCAAGUCUGGAGUGAAAGGCGGGGGCUCAACCCCCGGACUGCUCUGGAAACUGUACGGCUGGAGUGCAGGAGAGGUAAGUGGAAUUCGUAGUGUAGCGGUGAAAUGCGUAGAUAUUAGGAGGAACACCAGUGGCGAAGGCGGCUUACUGGACUGUAACUGACGUUGAGGCUCGAAAGCGUGGGGAGCAAACAGGAUUAGAUACCCUUGUAGUC